AACCAUUCUCACCUGCGGCUAGACCUGCGGAGGGAUCAUUACCGAGUUUACAACUCCCAAACCCCUGUGAACAUACCACUCGUUGCCUCGGCGGAUCACCGCGCCCCGUGAAACGGGCCGGCCCGCCAGAGGACCUAAACUCAAAUGUUUUAUUGUAUCUUCUGAGUAAAAACACAAAUAAAUCAAAACUUUCAACAACGGAUCU
RNAcentral lists this unclassified non-coding RNA (205 nucleotides) under soil metagenome. RNAcentral describes it as "partial contains 5.8S ribosomal RNA, internal transcribed spacer 2, and large subunit ribosomal RNA". The record is from RNAcentral.